This 508-nucleotide ribosomal RNA is filed under the name Monaloniina sp. S102. RNAcentral describes it as "eukaryotic LSU rRNA". It matches the Rfam family "Eukaryotic large subunit ribosomal RNA", at positions 666 to 1138 of the family's 3401-position model. Lineage: Eukaryota; Metazoa; Arthropoda; Insecta; Hemiptera; Miridae. The record is from RNAcentral.
CCAAGGAGUUUAGCGUGUGCGCGAGUCAUUGGGUGACAAAACCUAAAGGCGCAAUGAAAGUGAAGGGGAAUCUUCUUUUUCGAGGGAGGACAGGUUCAAUUCUAAUAGAAUUGUCUCGCACUCCCGGGGCGUCUCUUUCUCAUUGCGAGAGAAGGCGCACCUAGAGCGUACACGCUGAUACCCGAAAGAUGGUGAACUAUGCCUGGCCAGGACGAAGCCAGGGGAAACCCUGGUGGAGGUCCGCAGCGAUUCUGACGUGCAAAUCGAUCGUCGGAGCUGGGUUUAGGGGCGAAAGACCAAUCGAACCAUCUAGUAGCUGGUUCCCUCUGAAGUUUCCCUCAGGAUAGCUUGCGCUGAGGAACGAGUCUCAUCCGGUAGAGCGAAUGAUUAGAGGCCUUGGGGUCGAAACGACCUCAACCUAUUCUCAAACUCCAAAUAGAUGAGAACCCCGGCUUCCUUGGAUUAUGAAGCCGGGGGCUCGGAUCAGAGUGCCAAGUGGGCCAAUUUU